This 1476-nucleotide long non-coding RNA is filed under the name Aotus nancymaae (Ma's night monkey). RNAcentral describes it as "lncRNA (ENSANAG00000039046.1)". Lineage: Eukaryota; Metazoa; Chordata; Mammalia; Primates; Aotidae. The record is from RNAcentral.
AUUAAUUAUGUAGAUAUUUACAUAUCUUAAAAGACUGUCCUUUUUAAAUUUUAUUAUUAUUAUUAUUUUUAUAGAGAUGGGAUUUGACCAUGGCUAGGAUGGUCUCGAUUUCCUGACCUCGUGAUCUGCCUGCCUUGGCCUCCCAAAGUGCUGGGAUUACAGGCGUGAGCCCCCGCGCCCGGCCAAAAGACUAUCCUUUUAAUAAUUUCAAAUGAUACUUUGUAGUUCCUAGUAUGGUGCCCUAGGUAUACUGUUGAUAUUUACUAUAAAGUUUUGUGCAUGAUAAAUUGCCCUGCUUCAGUAGUGCCACAGAAUCAAUUGGUUCUUGUAUCUGAAAUUAUUUAAUGAAUGCUGAUGAAGUAUGCUGGACUUCGUUAGGUCCUGACGGCAUUUGAAAAGAAGUUUGACAUCUGCCUGUCUGUCCCCUCUUGGCUGCCUACAAGGUGGUUAUUGAGGAAUUUGCAUUCUGCUAUCGUCAAGUGGCCUGAAAGCCAGGGAGAUUGAGAAGAUGAGUGCUCUUUGUGCCUUAAAAAGAAGCAGGCAAAAGCUGGACCGGGAACAGAGUAUCAGUGUUACAGUAAAGUGAAGUUACUAUGUUUUCUGAACUCCUUGCAAGCAUUUUCAAGGAAAGGAACUUUUGUUACAGGCUUUUAACAGAGCACCAGUUGGAAAUUUCAGAGUCAGCAACAAGCCUAGAUGCCUGGAAAAUUCCAUCACUUAUAAGGCAUGGCAGGCAGAAUAUCGGUGCCCUUCAAGAUGUCCACAUGCUGAUCCCUGAAACCUGGGACUAUGUUACCUUAAAUGGCAUAAGGGUCUUUGCAGGUGUGAUGAAUGUUAUGCACCUUGAGGAGAGUAGCUUGGAUUAUCCAGGUGAGCCCAGUUUAACAAAAUAAAUCCUUAAAAGCAAAAGCAAAGAGCCUUUCCAGCUGUGGUCAGAGGGACAGGUGACUAGAGAAGAGUGUUCACCCCCUUUCCCUUGUCCUGCUUUGUUUUCUCCACUCUGUGGGAGGCACAAGAAUGCCUCCUCCAAAGAGGUGCACAUCCUAAUCCCCAGAGCCUAUGAAUAUGGUAUGUUAUAUGGCAAAGGGGGAUUAAGAGUGCAAAUGGAAUUGUUUGCUAAUUUGCUGACCAUAAGAUUGGGAGAGUGUCUUGGAUUAUCCAGAUGGACCCAAUGUAAUCACAAAGGUCCUGAAUCUUGGAAGAGGAAAGCAGAAGAGGGGUUCAGAGUGAUGUGACGUCAGUCUUAGCCUGCUGUUGCUAGCUUUGAGGAUGGAGGAACGGGGCUAGGAGCCCAGGAAUGCAGCAGCCUCUAGAAGCUGGAAAAGGCAAGGAAAAGGAUUCUCCCCCAGAGCCUCCAGAAACAAAUACAGCCUUACUGACACCUUGCUUUUAGCCCAGUGAGACUCAUGUUAGACUUCUGGUACUGCAAGAUAUUAAAUGGAUGAUGGCUGGGCGCAGUAGCUCAUGCCUGUAAUU